Molecule: long non-coding RNA, 229 nt
Filed under: Columba livia (rock pigeon)
Lineage: Eukaryota; Metazoa; Chordata; Aves; Columbiformes; Columbidae
Description: partial uncharacterized LOC106146120
Source: RNAcentral
AAGCAGCAUAAUGAGGACAUAAUGGAAUAUGAAAGAAGAAAAAAAGAGAGACAACAUAAGUGUACAGAAUGUUCAUAGUUGACAGUAUGCUCAGUAAGAAGCAACGUCAUCACCAGUUGUCCUGCAGAUAAUUGAGCACAGCAGAAGUACAAAGUCUCUAAAUACUUAUAUGUUCAUACAUUUCAUGUGCAGAAUUAUGAAAUAAAUUAUAAAGUCUGGGAGAAACUUA